Molecule: ribosomal RNA, 583 nt
Filed under: uncultured bacterium
Lineage: Bacteria
Description: bacterial SSU rRNA
Rfam family: Bacterial small subunit ribosomal RNA
Source: RNAcentral
AACGACUGCUAAUACCGGAUAUGCCGAAAGGUGAAAGAUUUAUUGCCUGGAGAUGAGCUCGCGUCUGAUUAGCUAGUUGGUAGGGUAAAGGCCUACCAAGGCGUCGAUCAGUAGCUGGUCUGAGAGGAUGAUCAGCCACACUGGGACUGAGACACGGCCCAGACUCCUACGGGAGGCAGCAGUGGGGAAUUUUCCGCAAUGGGCGAAAGCCUGACGGAGCAAUACCGCGUGAGGGAGGAAGGCUUUUGGGUUGUAAACCUCUUUUCUUAAGGAAGAACACAAUGACGGUACUUAAGGAAUAAGCAUCGGCUAACUCCGUGCCAGCAGCCGCGGUAAUACGGAGGAUGCAAGCGUUAUCCGGAAUGAUUGGGCGUAAAGCGUCCGCAGGUGGUUUUGUAAGUCUGCUGUUAAAGCGUGAGGCUCAACCUCAUAAUGGCAGUGGAAACUACAAGACUAGAGUACGUUCGGGGCAGAGGGAAUUCCUGGUGUAGCGGUGAAAUGCGUAGAUAUCAGGACGAACACCGGUGGCGAAAGCGCUCUGCUAGGCCGUGACUGACACUGAAGGACGAAAGCUAGGGGAGCG